This 497-nucleotide ribosomal RNA is filed under the name uncultured bacterium. RNAcentral's name for it is "partial 16S ribosomal RNA". It matches the Rfam family "Bacterial small subunit ribosomal RNA", at positions 28 to 507 of the family's 1533-position model. The record is from RNAcentral.
GAUGAACGCUGGCGGCGUGCCUAAUACAUGCAAGUCGAGCGAACAGAUGAGGAGCUUGCUCCUCUGGCGUUAGCGGCGGACGGGUGAGUAACACGUGGAUAACCUACCUAUAAGACUGGGAUAACUUCGGGAAACCGGAGCUAAUACCGGAUAAUAUAUUGAAUCGCAUGGUUCAAUAGUGAAAGACGGUUUUGCUGUCACUUCUAGUUGGAUCCGCGCCGCAUUAGCUAGUUGGUAAGGUAACGGCUUACCAAGGGACCGAUCCGUAGCCGACCUGAGAGGGUGAUCGGCCACACUGGAACUGGGACACGGUCAAGCCUCCUACGGGAGGCAGCAGAAGGGAAUCUUCCGCAAUGGGCGAAAGCCUGACGGAGCAAGGCCGCGUGAGUGAUGAAGGUCUUGGGAUCGUAAAACUCUGUUAUUAGGGAGGAACAAAUGUGUAAGUAACUAUGCACGUCGUGACGGUACCUAAUCAGAAAGCCACGGCUAACUACGUG